Molecule: ribosomal RNA, 468 nt
Filed under: uncultured bacterium
Lineage: Bacteria
Description: partial 16S ribosomal RNA
Rfam family: Bacterial small subunit ribosomal RNA
Source: RNAcentral
GACGAACGCUGGCGGCGUGCUUAACUCAUGCAAGUCGAACGGAAAGGCCCUGCUUUUGUGGGGUGCUCGAGUGGCGAACGGGUGAGUAACACGUGAGUAACCUGCCCUUGACUUUGGGAUAACUUCAGGAAACUGGAGCUAAUACCGGAUAGGAGCUCCUGCUGCAUGGUGGGGGUUGGAAAGUUUCGGCGGUUGGGGAUGGACUCGCGGCUUAUCAGCUUGUUGGUGGGGUAGUGGCUUACCAAGGCUUUGACGGGUAGCCGGCCUGAGAGGGUGACCGGCCACAUUGGGACUGAGAUACGGCCCAGACUCCUACGGGAGGCAGCAGUGGGGAAUAUUGCACAAUGGGCGGAAGCCUGAUGCAGCAACGCCGCGUGCGGGAUGACGGCCUUCGGGUUGUAAACCGCCUUCGCCUGUGACGAAGCGUGAGUGACGGUAAUGGGUAAAGAAGCACCGGCUAACUACGUG